CGCCUGGCAGACAGAAUGUCGCUGCUGGAAGCAUUCGCCCUCUCCUCCUUCUGGGCUCUUGGACUUGGAUUAUCAAAAGUGGAGCAGCUCCAGGUAUCCAUUUCCACGGAAAUAAAGAAAAGUAUUGACAUACCUUGCAAGAUAUCGAGCACAAACUUUGAAACAGAUGUCAUUCAUUGGUACCGGCAGAAACCGAAUCGGGCUCUGGAGCACCUGAUCUAUACUGCCUUAACGAAAUCCUCAGCUGGCGGCAGCAUGGGUAAGAGGAGCAACAAAUUGGAGGCAAGAAAGAAUCCUAAAACGUCCACUUCAAUCCUUACCAUCAAGUCCAUAGAGAAAGAAGACAUGGCUGUUUACUACUGUGCUGCCUGGGAAUACACGGUAUCAGAACUGUUGAGACAACACGCACAAGUUCCCUUCCCCGGGGCUGCGCCCACCACAUCCUUCCCGACGGGGGCAACCACAGCCGGUCCCCAGCUGGGCUCCCAGACUCAGGCUCGCCUUCUCUGA
Molecule: non-coding RNA, 510 nt
Organism: Saimiri boliviensis boliviensis (Bolivian squirrel monkey)
Lineage: Eukaryota; Metazoa; Chordata; Mammalia; Primates; Cebidae
Source: the annotation of a RefSeq genome assembly